CCCUGUUCCCAGUCGCUCACCCCACCCUCUCCUUCCCAGCCGCUCGCGCCGCCCCGUUCAUCUCACGCGCGUGCCAAGGUCUCCGAGCGCCACCAAGUCCUGGUUAUCCUCUGGCCGAGAUCCCCCAAGCCGGCAAUGUUCCUCCCAUCCCAUAAGGAGCGCGCCACCAUCAUGAGCGCCGCCGCCCACCGCAGCAUCCAUACUUCCUCCCUCCCCGAGUUCCCCGGCGCGAGGCCCUGAUUCCUACUAGCCCUACGAGCUGCUGCGCCUUUAGCUCGACGAGCGCACCUGUGAGCUGAUGCGCUAGGGCCUCGACCAACUACGGUACCGUGCUAUUCGUAGAGAGGUUCAACCCCGACGCACGCGGUUCCGGCGUCUCGCCCCGGCAGCAGAUCCAGGGAUGGGGCUCAUCUCCAGGGAUGCAGCGCAAUGCGGAAGAGCAGGAAAUCAUCUCCAGGGAUCGGAGGGACUGCCGGAACUAUGACCAGAUCGCCAACCUCGCUAAGAGGAUGGGGCUUUACAGGUCCCACUGCCGAACUACAGGCCAGACCUGAACGACAAGCGUCCAUAGAGAGAGGUGGUGAUCCCGUCAGAGAAGGGUUGAAGGACUUGUACAGGAGCACCUUGACUGUGCGCUCUUGCCAUUUCAUAAAGAUGGUGGCAAGACAGAAAGUGGUUCCGAGAAAACUGAGCCUGUGAACUUGGAUGAGAGGCAGGAUCCUCUGCUCGACCAGUCGGUCAUGGAGAAGGUCCUUCGGAUGAAGAGUAUUCGGAUGUGCAAUUUUCAACGAAGUUGGCCGAUAUGAUGAACUCUAAAGAGUAGCUGAAUGCCAUAUAGCUUUAUAUAUGUUACAGGAAAGAAACAAAGGAUGAUUUGCAAAUAACCUUCUGCAGCAUUUCUUAUAUGUUCCUUCAUAUUUAUAUUUAUUUAUGCGAGCUGAUUAUUCAUGGACAUAUUGGAUGAAGCUUUUAUCUGCUUGUAAUAACAGGAAUCACCUGAAGGUGGUAAGAUGGUAGAAUUUCGGAAAUCCCUCCCAGCAUACAAGGAUAAGGAAAGGCUUCUAGCAGCCGUUGCACGUAAUCAGGUUAUAGUUAUUUCGGGAGAGACGGGGUGUAACAAUAGAAACUUGCAGUUCAGGUAUUUUUUCUUUUAUUACAUCGAUUGUAACAUUAUUAUUGGAAUAUCUCAUUUUUCUGAUAAACAUAGCAAAUCAGCUGAUUCAAAUUAGUAAUAAUGAUUUGGGUACAGAGCUUAUACAUACUUACAUAGCCUCUCCAAACACGAUGAGGUAAUUUUUUAUGCUUGGUUGAUUGCUCACUGAGAUACUCGGGUACACGCGGAGAUGCAAAUGCUUCAGUGGCCAUCGUCAUCUUAAGUUGCUCUGAAUAUUUGGUGAUAUCCCUGUGUCUUUUCUGCAAGUUCGCUUAUCUGAACUCAAUGCAAAAUUCAUUUUUUUUAUCCUAAUGUUGUUGUUGUUUAGUCUCCUUGUCCAAUUUACUAUUCUCAAUUGAGGUAGAUGAUUUUCUACAGUUUAUUAGUCUCCUUGUCCAAAUUACUAUUCUCUCUUUCUGCUUUGAUUCUUUUAGGUUGGGAUAAAUGCAUGGAGUCAAGUUUCUCUUUGGUUUUGUUGAUUCACGCUGAAAGAAAGUUCCAUCAUUCAACUGCAUCUUGCUUGUGAGUUAGUAUCCUUUGUGACUUCCUUUUCUGAAAUAGCCUUCUCACAUAGCAAAGAUUGUAGAUUUCUGUUCCAUCUGUAGUCACAAGAAACAAUGUGCACAUGUUUUCUAAUACCACCACUUCAUACCUAUUUCAGCGACAAGAAAUGUUCAUGAAGUUUGAGGGCUACAUGAAUUGUGAAAUUGGUCCAAUGCAGUUUCAUCAAUUGCUAAUAUUCAAUGCAGUGUCGUUUUUUUAACAGUUCAUGCUUUCCAUUUUCUUCUUACUGAACAGUGUAUUCAACUUUGUUGUACUUUGGGGUAUUAGCUAAUCCAACAUGGUACAAUAAUGAGAAUGGAUAGUCGCUAGAAGAGAAACUGUAAGAAAAACUUAGUAUGGUGAAUAUGGUGUUCUGUCUGAUAGAUUAAAGUUUAAAGGAAAGUACAUGUGGAAUCCAUCGGCUUUAAGGAAAAUACAGUGGAAAACCAUCUCGAAUUGGAGGUUGAAUGAACACGUCUCUUCUAAUUUUCCACUAUAGUACACCAAAAGGUUGUCAAGGAUUAAAUUUAGAUUAACAAAGGUUGGGCAUUCAAAAGAAGGGAGAAUGAAGAUACUCUUGCAAAAAAAGGUUGGGUAUUUCAGAUGGUUUAAUUUAAUUAGGUUUAUUGAUAAAGAACAAGGCAAAAAAAUUAGAUUAACAAAGGUUUCUGAAGUGAAAGAAUGAUUUACACGGCUUGUAAAUUUGAGUUGUUGUAGAAAGCUAAUUCUGAGCAGAAUUUGACUUCUUUUCUUUUAAGAAAAGGCUCAGAUACAUGGAGAGAUCCCGAACUAUGAACUUCUAGAUAUUUGUGUCAAUGCUCUCUUGGUCAAUGAGAGGUGGUAGGUUUGUGGAACACCAAUGUCGUUGAGCCUAUAUAAUGAUUUAUAUUAGUUAUGCAGCUGAUAAACAUAAUUUACAGUGGAAGCUUAUUCAUUAUUUUUUCGUAUUUCAUCAUUAUGCUUGUUGCACAUAAUUUAUGGAUACUUGCAUUUUCUUAUCCUUUUCAAUUUUUAAAUCUGUUUUCCUGAUGAAGUUUUAGUUUGCCAAAAGACAUGGAGCUCUAUAUGACUAUAUCAUCAAGGUAAAUAACUCAACUUUUUUUGUUAAGUACUCUAAAUUGCUUCAAUAACUGUUUUAGCUUUGUAGUAUAACAUAUUUGCAUGCCACUUCAUUGUCUUGUAGUCCUGCUUACCUCAAGGUCAAUGUUAUAUCAUUUAUCUCAUCAAUACCUGAAGCGUCCAGGCCUAGGUGCCGGUGGAAGCCAAGGGACGAACGGCGAGGCGGCAGUGUGGUCACGCUCGCCAAGAGCCUCACUGAUUUUCUGGCCCGUACCAGAGCCACUACUCCGCCGCCCCAUCAGUGCUCCUCCUCCCUAGGACCGGGCCAUGUAUGACAAGGGAAGAAAUUGCUCCUUCCACUGUGUCAGGUUCAGUCAACACCACCAUCUUGGUCCACUGGUUGUAAGGAGUGCAUGUAUUGCUUUCUUAGAUCGUAGUGUCUGUCACUUUUAAACUUGUCAAGUUCAGCGCUAUUUUUGGUAGAGUUCAGGCUUGAUGCUGACUAUUUGUUGUAUUAAUACUUUUAUGGUGAAUCGAGAAAAACUUCAGUCCACAUUGCGUUGAUGCAGCAGAUAUUCUCAAAAAAGAAAAGAUUGUGCAUUAUAUUAUAAA
Long non-coding RNA from Lolium perenne, 3367 nucleotides. RefSeq lists it as uncharacterized. Lineage: Eukaryota; Viridiplantae; Streptophyta; Magnoliopsida; Poales; Poaceae. The record is from RefSeq and is a predicted model, not a curated record.